AGAGUUUGAUCCUGGCUCAGAUUGAACGCUGGCGGCAUGCCUUACACAUGCAAGUCGAACGGUAACGCGGGGGCAACCCUGGCGACGAGUGGCGAACGGGUGAGUAAUACAUCGGAACAUAUCCAGUAGCGGGGGAUAACCUAUCGAAAGAUGGACUAAUACCGCAUACGAUCUACGGAUGAGAGCAGGGGACCGCAAGGCCUUGCACUAUUGGAGUGGCCGAUGUCGGAUUAGCUAGUUGGUGGGGUAAAAGCUUACCAAGGCGACGAUCCGUAGCUGGUCUGAGAGGACGAUCAGCCACACUGGAACUGAGACACGGUCCAGACUCCUACGGGAGGCAGCAGUGGGGAAUUUUGGACAAUGGCGCAAGCCUGAGCCAGCCAUGCCGCGUGAGUGAAGAAGGCCUUCGGGUUGUAAAGCUCUUUCGGUGAAGACGAAACGGUUCAUGCUAAUAACGUGAACUAAUGACGGUACUCACAGAAGAAGCACCGGCUAACUACGUGCCAGCAGCCGCGGUAAUACGUAGGGUGCAGGCGUUAAUCGGAAUUACUGGGCGUAAAGCGUGCGCAGGCGGUUUGCUAAGACAGGUGUGAAAUCCCCGGGCUUAACCUGGGAAUUGCGCUUGUAACUGGCAAGCUAGAGUGUGGCAGAGGGGGGUGGAAUUCCACGUGUAGCAGUGAAAUGCGUAGAUAUGUGGAGGAACACCGAUGGCGAAGGCAGCCCCCUGGGUUAACACUGACGCUCAUGCACGAAAGCGUGGGGAGCAAACAGGAUUAGAUACCCUGGUAGUCCACGCCCUAAACUAUGUCAACUAGUUGUCGGGGAAGAAAUUCCUUGGUAACGAAGCUAACGCGUGAAGUUGACCGCCUGGGGAGUACGGCCGCAAGGUUAAAACUCAAAGGAAUUGACGGGGACCCGCACAAGCGGUGGAUUAUGUGGAUUAAUUCGAUGCAACGCGAAAAACCUUACCUACCCUUGACAUGCUAGGAAGCCCGCAGAGAUGUGGGUGUGCCCGAAAGGGAACCUAGACACAGGUGCUGCAUGGCUGUCGUCAGCUCGUGUCGUGAGAUGUUGGGUUAAGUCCCGCAACGAGCGCAACCCUUGCCAUUAGUUGCUACAUUCAGUUGGGCACUCUAAUGGGACCGCCGGUGACAAACCGGAGGAAGGUGGGGAUGACGUCAAGUCCUCAUGGCCCUUAUGGGUAGGGCUUCACACGUAAUACAAUGGUCGGUACAGAGGGCUGCCAACCCGCAAGGGGGAGCUAAUCCCAGAAAGCCGAUCGUAGUCCGGAUUGUAGUCUGCAACUCGACUGCAUGAAGCCGGAAUCGCUAGUAAUCGCGGAUCAGCAUGUCGCGGUGAAUACGUUCCCGGGUCUUGUACACACCGCCCGUCACACCAUGGGAGUGGGUUCCACCAGAAGUAGUUAGCCUAACCGCAAGGAGGGCGAUUACCACGGUGAGAUUCAUGACUGGGGUGAAGUCGUAACAAGGUA
Molecule: ribosomal RNA, 1492 nt
Filed under: metagenome
Description: bacterial SSU rRNA
Rfam family: Bacterial small subunit ribosomal RNA
Source: RNAcentral